RNAcentral lists this ribosomal RNA (485 nucleotides) under uncultured bacterium. Its description in RNAcentral is "bacterial SSU rRNA". It matches the Rfam family "Bacterial small subunit ribosomal RNA", at positions 30 to 509 of the family's 1533-position model. The record is from RNAcentral.
UGAACGCUAGCUACAGGCUUAACACAUGCAAGUCAGGGGCAUCGCGGUGUAGCAAUACACUGGCGGCGACCGGCGCACGGGUGAGUAACACGUAUCCAACCUGCCCUCAGCUCGGGGAUAGCCCUCUGAAAGGAGGAUUAAUACCCGAUGUGGUUGUUCGCAGACAUCUGCGUAUAAUUAAAGAUUUAUCGGCUGAUGAUGGGGAUGCGUAUGAUUAGCUUGUUGGCGGGUAACGGCCCACCAAGGCGACGAUCAUUAGGGGUUCUGAGAGGAAGGUCCCCCACAUAGGAACUGAGACACGGUCCUAACUCCUACGGGAGGCAGCAGUGAGGAAUAUUGGUCAAUGGCCGUAAGGCUGAACCAGCCAAGUAGCGUGAAGGAUGACUGCCCUACGGGUUGUAAACUUCUUUUAUGGGAGAAUAAAGUCGAGGCCACGUGUGCCUUUUGCAGGUAUCCCAUGAAUAAGCAUCGGCUAAUUCCGUGCC